This 416-nucleotide ribosomal RNA is filed under the name uncultured eukaryote. RNAcentral's name for it is "bacterial SSU rRNA". It matches the Rfam family "Eukaryotic small subunit ribosomal RNA", at positions 592 to 1018 of the family's 1831-position model. The record is from RNAcentral.
CAAUAGCGUAUAUUAAAGUUGUUGCAGUUAAAAGCUCGUAGUUGGACUUCUGGCUUGGUGAGGUGGUCCGCCGCAAGGUGUGCACUGUUUUGUCGAGCCUUCUUCUCGUAGUUGGUGGGUGCACUUAACUGGGCGCCUAUUGAAUAUGGGACCUUUACUUUGAAAAAUUAGAGUGUUCAAAGCAGGCCUUCGCUUGAAUACAUUAGCAUGGAAUAAUAAGAUAGGACCUUGGUACUAUUUUGUUGGUUUGCGUACCUAGGUAAUGAUUAAUAGGGACAGUUGGGGAUAUUACUAUUUCGUUGUCAGAGGUGAAAUUCUUGGAUUUACGAAAGAGUAACUACUGCGAAAGCAUUUAUCAAGGAUGUUUUCAUUAAUCAAGAACGAAAGUUAGGGGAUCGAAGAUGAUCAGAUACCGU